GGGCCCGCACAAGCGGUGGAGUAUGUGGUUUAAUUCGAUGCAACGCGAAGAACCUUACCAGGGUUUGACAUCCUGCGAAUCUCUUGGAAACAGGAGAGUGCCUUCGGGAACGCAGUGACAGGUGGUGCAUGGCUGUCGUCAGCUCGUGUCGUGAGAUGUUGGGUUAAGUCCUAUAACGAGCGCAACCCCUAUCGUUAGUUGCCAGCGGGUAAUGCCGGGAACUCUAGCGAAACUGCCGGUGCAAACCGAGAGGAAGGUGGGGAUGACGUCAAAUCAUCACGGCCCUUACAUCCUGGGCUACACACGUACUACAAUGCUACGGACAAAGGGCAGCAAGUUCGCGAGGACAAGCAAAUCCCAUAAACCGUGGCUCAGUUCAGAUCGUAGGCUGCAACUCGCCUACGUGAAGGAGGAAUCGCUAGUAAUCG
Molecule: ribosomal RNA, 428 nt
Filed under: uncultured bacterium
Lineage: Bacteria
Description: bacterial SSU rRNA
Rfam family: Bacterial small subunit ribosomal RNA
Source: RNAcentral